GCCCUCUUGAUGAUGACUUGCAUUAAAAGAAAUCAUUAUACUUCGGUCUUGCAAUGCAUUUCUCAACUCCCGCACACACAACAACACUAUCCUUUAUGAAUCAUUUCCUUUGCACCCAGUGGCUAUGAUGUUUGCAUCUUUGGAUAAGUCCACCCUGGUCCCGGUAAAGCAUAUACAAUGGAAGUUGGUAAUGUAGAAGAUGAGAUGAUGGGUAUGAUUCCAAGAGCUGCUGUUCAGGUGUUUGAAACCGUUGAAUUAUUAGUUGAGAAAGGUUAGAAGUAUGAAUUCAAUGUGUCCUUCCUUGAGAUUUACAAUGAAGCCAUUCAUGAUUUGCUGAAUGACAAAGAGAAGCACGAUGUCUAAAUGGCUGCUGACAAAUCAGGUGCAAUGAAUGUUAGCAAUGGGACUAGUGUUGCAGUUGCAUCAUGAGACCAGAUUCAUUGGUUGUUGUUGAAGGCGUCCAAGAACCAUGCUGUUGGUGAAACCAGACUCAGUGAGUGCUCAUCUUGUAGUCACAGUGCUUGGGGAAACCUGCAAUGGCUGGUAAUAUUUUUAGAGAUUUAGGACAAUUUGUCUCUUGAUUUUUUUAGUCCUAUAUCUAUUUUUUCAUUGUCUACAUGAGUGGCUGCGUGGUUAAGAAGUUUGCUUCUCAACCACAUGUGCUGAUUAAAGCCUUGUGAGGCCAUUUGGUAGAUGGAAACUGAAAGAAGCCUUUCGUAUAAAUUAUGCUUGAAUUCCUUGGAAAUCCAAAUUCAAAAUGUUUUUAAAACUUGUUCAUGCACAUGGCAUCCUAUUAUUAAUUACAAAUUGAAUGACACCAUGUAAAGGGUGAUGAAUUUUUAGCUUUUUGGUGUUGAAAAUUUUUACAGAUCUGUUUUGAAAUAUCUUGUAUGAUUAUGCAAAAUAUAUUUUUUUGGCUUAAAUUUUUUCAUCUAAGCCAGCCCCACCCUGUAAAACUUUGCAGAUUCUUGAAUUAGACUUCACUGGUAUUUAUCAUAGUGGCAGUGAAAAGGACUUUGCUAGGAUUUCUGCAGAGAUUUCAGACAUAUGUAAAUGAUAAAUUGUUUUGAUAGCAUAAUUAUUGGUUAGUAAAUAUCUUUUUUUCUUAAACACACACAGGAGUGGCUGUGUGGUAAGUAGCAUGCUAACCAACCACAUGGUUCCGGGUUCAGUCCCACUGCGUAGCA
This is a long non-coding RNA of Octopus sinensis (East Asian common octopus), 1187 nucleotides long. RefSeq lists it as uncharacterized. Lineage: Eukaryota; Metazoa; Mollusca; Cephalopoda; Octopoda; Octopodidae. The transcript is spliced from 4 exons. The record is from RefSeq and is a predicted model, not a curated record.